UACGUAGGGUGCGAGCGUUGCCCGGAUUUAUUGGGCGUAAAGGGCGCGUAGGCGGUCACGCACGUCCGUUGUGAAAUCGCUCGGCUCAACUGGGCGGGGUCAGCGGAUACGGUGUGACUGGAGCAAGCUAGGGGGCAAUGGAAUUCCCGGUGUAGUGGUGGAAUGCGUAGAUAUCGGGAGGAACACCAGUGGCGAAGGCGGUUGCCUGGAACUUUGCUGACGCUGAUGCGCGAAAGCGUGGGGAGCGAGCCGG
Molecule: ribosomal RNA, 253 nt
Filed under: uncultured bacterium
Lineage: Bacteria
Description: partial 16S ribosomal RNA
Rfam family: Bacterial small subunit ribosomal RNA
Source: RNAcentral